CAUGGAUCUGUGAGACAGUUGUUUGGUCGUAUAUGAUACAUGUUGUAGGUGGCCGCUCCUACCGAAUAUGUUAGAUGAGGUGAUGGCAAGCAAAUCCGGUUUGAUUGCAUGUAUUACAACAACAAGCUAGAGCAUGACAACAUGAGUAGGGACAUGUCCAUAUGUUAAUUCGAUGUGCUACAAACAUACCAAAUUAACAUAUUUUGUAGACAAUGUAAGGGAUGUAAUACAUAAAUUUAGCACAAGGAGUAAAAAAGAAUAUACAAAGAGUCCCCGCAAGUUUAAGGGAUGAAAGAUGUUGAUGCUGGUAACUAAGUUCCUCAUCCAACGAUUUGUAAUCCAUAGAGGUGAUAAGUUUAAUUUCUAAUAGGACGACAACUCCAUACUUGUCUUUACCUGAAUUACAACCAUGGAGACAAAAAAAGUUAAAGGCCAAAAUACUUUUUUGUUGCUACCGGUUUUAGAUUGAGACCUGAAGUUCCUAACUAAAGCAUGGUCUUCGACCCAAGGAUGUUCUAUUAAUUGAGCAGCAGUUUGACGUGCAGUAGGAUCAUGCUGCAAGCGGCAUUUUCGAAAGUUUUGCUUCAAAAGGAAAAUAUCUUGGGCAUCUGGUAUGUUGUUUUUCUAAAAUGAUAACCUGGAAAUGAAUGGACUUUAGUUUAUAUUCAUCUUACAGGGGGGGAAUACAUGAAAAACCAUCAAUAGCCUUCCUCCACUCCGUAGGAGCUUCCUUUCAAUAAUUUGAUAGAUAUGUAUGUUGAGUUGCUGACAUCUACAUUAGUAAUGCAUAUUAAAUAAAAUUGACUAUAAAAUAUAAAAAUUACCAAUAUCACUGACACGGUAUAGUAUAAUUGAUCUUGUGGUAUCACCAUUAUGAUUUACAAGUAUAAUUGCUUCCUUGGUAUCCCUGUGAGAAAGGUAAUUUAAUCAGUAAGGAUUAAGAAAAACGUGCAGAUUUAUCAUUAGAAAGGGCCAUCUCUCUUAUGUAUUGUGAUUUGAUGACUGCCCAAUACAUCUGCACUACGUUAUGCCAUAGAGGAUCUGUGCAGUGUAAAUCCGGAAUUAGGCCUCCCCUGAUGGACCAUAUUCUUGAGCAACUUAUGUAUACAGUGCCCAGAAAGAAACUCAAAAUAGACUGCAAAUAUCUCACUGGACAACAUUUAUAUCUGAAACAUAUUCAGGGAAAAUAUUACUCCUAUAAUUUAGUACAGAAUGCAUCUCUUCAUAAAUUACACCGCAGUGAUUUAUUGAUUCACGACUGUAAAAAAAUAUAUCGAAUUUAUCUAACCAAUUUGACAACAUCUAACUUUUGUAGUGCACAUGGCAGCGACCACACGGACCGUGGAUGUGCUUAUAGACACUGAAGACACGCAUGACCGCCAUUGCUGGAGUUUCGGACUAACCUGUCAACAUGGUUGCCACUUGGGUUUCCGCUACAAGCAUAGCGGUGCUACGUGUGAACACAGACGAACUGAUAGAGUACAGAGAUCGGGAGAAGCGGUUAUGGAAGGCUUUUUUACCUGUCCAAGAAAAAUUGGAUUAUCAUAUAAAUAAUUUCGAAGAUAAAAAAUCGUGAUAAUCAAUAUCCAAGAUCUGCCCGACUCAAUUUCAAUAUGAACAUCACCUAUACAAAAUUUUGAUCAGGAGGAUAUUAGCACAACAUAAUCGCUGGGUGGAAAAAGGAAUAGUAAUAUGAAUGGUAAAAAAGUGAAGAUAUGAAGGAACCUAGCAAAGCACCAUGCCGAUGGAUGUCCUAUCGCCGUAGUGAAACGGAUGAGUUGAGAGUGGUACAUGAAGAAGUAUAUAUACAUGUACCUAUACUGCGAGAGCAAAAGGACGAGAAAACAAAGAGACACCCAUUAAUCACCGCUGGCACACAUCAUCCGUCAUGAACGCGUGAAGAGAAACUGAAAGUGACUGCUGCCUUUAAACCCUAGGGGAGCAGUUUCUCUCGAGAAACAGCCGAACAACAUGCAUCGUCCAGAUCAGACCUACCGCACAAAACCGGUCGGCGGCCGUAUCGCCUACCUCUCCAUCUGCGUCUUCUCCCCUCCUCUGUCAAAGAACGAUCCGCUCGUCCUCUCAGACCACCGCAACGAUCUCUCUCUCUCGGAUUAGCGUAACCGCAUAAGUUCCACUCGGGUCGGUAGCUAAUUGGGCCGCCCAGAGCAGGAUC
RNAcentral lists this long non-coding RNA (2176 nucleotides) under Hordeum vulgare. Its description in RNAcentral is "long non-coding RNA (HVUL_LNC017841)". Lineage: Eukaryota; Viridiplantae; Streptophyta; Magnoliopsida; Poales; Poaceae. The record is from RNAcentral.